This 466-nucleotide ribosomal RNA is filed under the name uncultured ammonia-oxidizing beta proteobacterium. Its description in RNAcentral is "bacterial SSU rRNA". It matches the Rfam family "Bacterial small subunit ribosomal RNA", at positions 198 to 645 of the family's 1533-position model. The record is from RNAcentral. Lineage: Bacteria; Pseudomonadati; Pseudomonadota; Betaproteobacteria.
GGAGGAAAGCAGGGGAUCGUAAGACCUUGCGCUUUUGGAGUGGCCGAUGCCUGAUUAGCUAGUUGGUGGGGUAAGGGCCUACCAAGGCAACGAUCAGUAGUUGGUCUGAGAGGACGACCAGCCACACUGGGACUGAGACACGGCCCAGACUCCUACGGGAGGCAGCAGUGGGGAAUUUUGGACAAUGGGCGAAAGCCUGAUCCAGCAAUGCCGCGUGAGUGAAGAAGGCCUUCGGGUUGUAAAGCUCUUUCAGUCGAGAAGAAAAGGUUGUGACUAAUAAUCACAACUUAUGACGGUACCGACAGAAGAAGCACCGGCUAACUACGUGCCAGCAGCCGCGGUAAUACGUAGGGUGCGAGCGUUAAUCGGAAUUACUGGGCGUAAAGGGUGCGCAGGCGGCUUUGUAAGUCAGAUGUGAAAUCCCCGGGCUUAACCUGGGAAUUGCGUUUGAAACUACAAAGCUAGA